UCAACAGCUGAUCACUGUGCAUGACUCUAUCUUGUCAUGUACUUAUAUCUAUGGGUAGGUGCUUCUGUUUGCAGCAGGAAAUACAACAAAGGAAGACUUGGAACCAUAGAGAGAAGGGAGUGAUCUGUGAACGGAAGAUACGUGCCCAUGCAACAUCAACUGUCCUACGAGACAGGGGGCAGGGGACAGGAGAAAACACCAUCUACAUGACUUCUCUUGGAUCACCUGCAAACAGAUGCCAUUUCAGGGAAAUGAACACGAAAAUGAUGUCCCAGCUGUGUGAAGAAAUGACCCCACCACCUUUUCCAAAUUUUCUCUCUCAGCUUUUCAAAGCAGGGUCUUGGUAGUGGCUUAUUGAGUAGAUCUGCAAGCAUUUCAUUUGUUGGGCAGUAGAUCAGCUCGAUUAGUCCAUCCUUUUGCAGAUCUCUCACUACAUGGUACUUCACAUCAAUAUGUUUGUUAUAUCACUGAAAGAAGACUCUUCCCAACAGAAAUUUUAGAAGCUUGUUUUAGACAUCCUUCCUCCAGAAAUAGAUGGGAGAACUUACUCAUCCCAUCCACCUCCUUCAAAGCAGAAAGAACCUUCAGACUAACACAAGGAUCAAAGUGCCUCUGCUUGAUUUCCUCUACACCUCAACCCCUAACCUAUCCGAAGCCAUUCUUAAGGGUUUCACAAUCUACAGGAGCAGCUUCCCAGGAUAGGUGGAUCCAACCCUGCAACUUUUGCAGGAAUUUAUGUUUCAUAAAGAUUGAGAGAUUUUCCAUUUAAAUUGUAUAUGAUAAUAUAUCUUUACUUCUCUGGGAAGUUCAGGAAGGAAAUUUUCAUCCACAGCCAGUGUCCGCAGACUGUGCAAGUAGCCAAUGGUGGGAGGUAGAGACUCCAGUUCAUUGCAGCUGCAGUCGAAUUCUUCUAAUAAAGAUAAACUGAAAUGUUAAAGACAUUUGUUAGUCUACUUCCCAGAGCCAUCAAUCAUUUAAAAUACUGCUUUUAAUCUUUAGCAUUCUAGAUUUUCAAAAUGUUGGCAAUGCAGCUCCUGAUGGCAUCGACUCUUAGCACCAGAAACCCCACUGACCACUAGGGGCAUCAGGGGUACAGCUAGCCAGUGAGGGCAUCCUCCC
This is a long non-coding RNA of Hemicordylus capensis (graceful crag lizard), 1119 nucleotides long. RefSeq lists it as uncharacterized. The transcript has 4 exons. The record is from RefSeq and is a predicted model, not a curated record. NCBI's taxonomy places the organism in Eukaryota, Metazoa, Chordata, Lepidosauria, Squamata, Cordylidae.